Molecule: long non-coding RNA, 4142 nt
Filed under: Sus scrofa (pig)
Lineage: Eukaryota; Metazoa; Chordata; Mammalia; Artiodactyla; Suidae
Description: lncRNA (ENSSSCG00000056918.1)
Source: RNAcentral
GGCAUAUGGAAGUUCCCAGGCUAGGGGUCAAAUCAGAACUAUAGCUGCCAGCCUCAGCAAUGCAGGAUCUGAGCCACAUCUGCGACCUACACUGGAGCUCACGGCAAUGCCGGAUCCUUAACCCACUGAGCAAGGCCAGGGAUCAAACGCGAGUCCUCAUGGAUGCUAGUCAGAUUUGUUUCUGCUGAGCCAUGACAGGAACUCUGAGAGAAUCUUUCUUAUUACUACAGACAAGUCUGGACCUAGAAAUGCCUGCCUCUGUGUAUUUCUCUCCCAGGAUUGAGGAGAGUGGGAAAUUUCCUUCCCUUUACACUCUACACUGUGGAGGAUCAGUUAACCCCUCCUCAUUCUUCUCUCUGUGGGCUGAUCCUUGCUAGGGUUUGACUUGGUUUUCCCGUCCUUUCUGGUCCCCCUUUCCAUACUGUGCCCCCAGUAAGAGAGGUGAAGGGGAAAGCAAGUAUGGAAGGGGAAAAAAAUCCCAACCUACUGUUGCCAUGGUAUUUAUUCAACACACAUUCACCACUUCCUACACCCCCUUCUAACUUUUAUACUACCCUUAUGGUCAAGAAAGGCUGACUGGACUGGGAACUUGAAAGAGUUGAGAUUUUAUGAGAAGGAGAAAGGGCAAACUCCACUCCAAUACAUCUUCUGACCCUAAUUCUAUCAUUCCGUGACAUACUUUCUUUUAGUAUAAAUCUGUUACACUAAUUUCUUUGCCUCAUGGUUCAGCCUCUGGUCAGCCCUUAUCCUCCCUGCUCCUCAACCAUCCCACACGCUGUUUCACCACCAUGCUCUUCUUGUACCAAUGCCACUGAUUUCGCAAAUCCACUCUCACUGUCAGAGGGAAGAAUGGUACCUCCAGGGAAUGGUAGUGAGGGAAGAUUUGCUUCUAGUACCUCAAGUUGGAAUUCUGUCAUUUACCUUGAUAAACCUAAAUAAAGCAUAUACUCCUUUCUCUAGAUUCAUUUAUUUUUACUAAUAAAUAAUCUAUUAACUGCCUAUUCUUCCAAUCUUUUCAAUGCAAUCACAUAUUUCCAAGUGAAGGUAUUAAGAAGGCAAAGUUCAGGGGAGAAGAUAAGCCUGGAUGUUUAAAUCUGGGAGUUGUCAACAUCCGUACGAUAACUAUGUACAGACUGAAUAAAAGCACCAGCUUCCAAUCCUUAUACUAAAUUUUAGUAAAGCUUAACUUCAUUUCUGCAUAUAUACGUAUUUUAAAAAUACAUCUAUAGAAGCUCCCCACAUGCUUUCUUCCCCCACAUGCCUGGUGUGCAAGAGUCUUGCUUUGCAGAACAGUGUUCAGAGAUACAGAACUCUAAUGGCCAAGUCCUAUGAAAUGCACAUUUUCAAUUCUAUUGUAAACUGCUUUUCAAAGUGCAAGCAGUUUAUGAAGGAGUUCCUGUUUCUUCACAUCCACUCCUAAACUUUCUAUGACCAGACUUUACACCUGCCGAUUUCUGGAUUGAUCUCACCCCUCAAGGAUCAGAUUCCUACUCUGACUCUGUCAUUAGUUGAGGAAUCCCCACUUCUACCUUAGCUCAAGAUUUUGACUGUUUAAGGUCCCUGAAAAUAAGAUUAUUCUCCAGAGGUAAAAGUUUCAUUAGUGGGCCAUUAGGUAAAUGUGGAUUUAAUAAUUUAUCAUUUUCUGAUAAUCUUAUAAAUGUUUAAAACAUAAUCACAUAAGGUUAAGACAGUCACCAGGAGCCCAUUAAGCACUAUCUAUUACAUGGCACAUAAGUAAGCUUUCAAUAAACAUCUGGUGAACAAAGAGAAGGAAAUGUUGCCAUGUAGCCAUGUACCAAUACAACUGGUGCCUCUCUUUGCUUCCCUGACAUGAAUUAACCAGGUUGUGUCAGUUCUACUUCUGAGGUAUCUUUUGUAGCUCUGUCUUAUGGAUCCCACUACCACUGCCCAAGUCAUGGCCAUCUAAAUCUCUGCUCUUCCGGAGUUCCCAUCGUGGAGGUUAACUUGUCAGAAAUGCCUAACAAAUGUUAAGUGAGUCAGUGAAUAAAUCAAUGAAUACAUUAUUGUUAUAAUAGCUAGUGUUGAUUGCUUACCCUGUGAAAGGCACUGUGGUAAGCAACAUACAUAACUGUUCAUUCCUUUCCUUACCAGCAAAUGCUUCAGUGGUUUUCAAUGGCUACUUAACAGUCAUUAGGUAAACUCUAGAAAGCCACUUAACAUCUUAAGAUCUCAAUUUUCCUAUUUGUGAAAGACAGAGGAGAUGGGCAAAAUGACUCUUAGACCAGUUCUAAAACAGUGUGAUAUAAAGAAACAGAGCAUUUAGAGUUGAGUCAUGAAAACCAUGAAUGGCCGGAUAAGUUUGAGGAGACGAUGUUGCACAUGCUUUGGAAUCAGAUAUACUUGUCUAGAAUUCUCGGCUCCAUUACUCAGUUAUGUGCUCUUAGGCAGUUAAAUUCCCUAAGCUUCCACUUCUUUGUCUAAAAAAUGGACCUACCUUGUUGUAGGGUUUGAAAAUAAUAUGUAUAAAAUGUUUGGCAUAUUAGUAUAUCUUUUAAAAAAAACAGAAGAAAGACUUUAUUAUUGGUUCUGGGAAGUCUUUCACUCUAUUUGUUCCAACCUUAGGAUUUAACAAUUGCAAAGGUAACUCUUUAGAUAGGACUUAUCUGUGCCAGAAACCUUGCUAAAAUGCUUUAAAACACUAACUCAUUGAGCUUGAUAGCACACCUGUGAAGUAAGUACUAUUUCUGCUGUUACCAUUUUACCUCCAAGAAGCUCAGGCCCAAAGGGUGCCUAACUUGCCCAAGGUCACAUAGUUAUUAUGUGGUAGCGCUUGGAUUCUACAUCUAGCUCUUCAGUGCCAGAGCUAGGACUCUUAAUUACAUUUCUCUUCUUCUAAAGCCAACCAAUGACCUAAUUUAUUAGAAGAAACCUACAAUUGGCUGCUCUAAUAAAUACCACAAAAGAGUGAUUAAAUGGCUUUGUUUAUGGAGAAACCAAUCUGGGCACUGUUCUCUCCUGGAGAAUAAGAGACUAGUGACUGAGUCAAAUGUUUAUUUCCUUAAAGAGUCAUACAUUUGUAAACAGUGAGAAUUUUUUGUACACAUAGGUGUGGUUUGCUGCCCUAAGUGCUCCCAGUUCAGGCCCUUUGUUUCAAAUGUUUCAGGGAGGAGGCCUCUGCUUAGAAGUACAAGGGUGAAGCUGAUCCUGAUCUUAGACUUUAGGCAUAGUUCUCAAAAAGCACCACCCAAAGAGCAGGAAAUAGGGAAGUCAGAGUCUGUGGCUCACACCUUGGAUCUGCUGUGAUUUUAAGAGUACAGACAAUGAACUAGCGAUCCCCACUUCUGGGCAUCUGCAGCAGCUUUAUUCUGACUGAUGAAUAAAAGGUGUAAAUGCCUAAAAAAGAAAAAGAAAAAAAGACAGAAAAAGAAUAAUCUCCAGGUCUCAGGGUUCCACUGAGUUAUUACUAUCCCCCCAAAUGAGCUCCAAUGACAAUGCCACACACAAAAGAAGGGAAUAUGACCAUCUGAUCAGAUGGGGAAACAACUGACCAGCAAGAUGGUUACUUCUUUUCACAGUGACACUUGGAAAAAAGACAGCAGAUGGUAUUUAAAGAAAUGUUACAAAUAGUCUCCCUCGUCCUCCUAACACCUGUGAGCUAUAUAACACCAGAACACUGUUAUCAAUAAACAGGGUCUAGAGGAGGCAAUUGAGAAUGGAGGGAAGACAAAAUUUUAUGUCUACCUUUGAAACUGACAGCACUAACAGCCUGAAGCUAGCCAAAACACAGACUGGGUCUUGAACCCACGUGCUGGGACUUGAACACAUCCUAAACCCAGACUGGGACUUAAACCCACUGUGGUUUUAAAUUAAAAUCACUCACCCAGUGUCUGAAAUCACUGAGGUUCAGGUUCUUCCUGCCUCCAUAAAGAAGGAAUUCAGCAAGAGACAAAGUGAUAGGCAAGAAACAGAUUUAUUAGGAUAGGACCCUUGUGAGAGAUGCAAGCAGGCAGGCACAGAAGCUCUGCCCCAAGGAUCCAGGGGACUACAGUUUUAUUAUCCAAGGGAAGUGGGGGUCAGACCGCCUCUUCCUCUUUCCUUAGGAUCCUCCUCAGCAUCCAGUAAGGUGUGUAUUCAAAUCAGCAGAACGGUGGCCCUCAGACUCCUGCCCUUGGUCUGAAUCC